AGCGAACGCUGGCGGCAGGCCUAACACAUGCAAGUCGAACGAACCUUUCGGGGUUAGUGGCGGACGGGUGAGUAACACGUGGGAACGUGCCGUUAGGUUCGGAAUAACUCAGGGACACUUGUGCUAAUACCGAAUGUGCCCUUCGGGGGAAAGAUUUAUCGCCUUUAGAGCGGCCCGCGUCGGAUUAACUAGUUGGUUGAGGUAAUGGCUCACCAAGGCGACGAUCAGUAGCUGGUCUGAGAGGAUGAUCAGCGACAUUGGGACUGAGACACGGCCCAAACUCCUACGGGAGGCAGCAGUGGGGAAUCUUGCGCAAUGGGCUAAAGCCUGACGCAGCCAUGCCGCGUGAAUGAUGAAGGUCUUAGGAUUGUAAAAUUCUUUCACCGGGGACGAUAAUGACGGUACCCGGAGAAGAAGCCCCGGCUAACUUCGUG
RNAcentral lists this ribosomal RNA (434 nucleotides) under uncultured bacterium. Its description in RNAcentral is "partial 16S ribosomal RNA". It matches the Rfam family "Bacterial small subunit ribosomal RNA", at positions 29 to 507 of the family's 1533-position model. The record is from RNAcentral.